This 1459-nucleotide ribosomal RNA is filed under the name uncultured Bordetella sp. Its description in RNAcentral is "partial 16S-23S ribosomal RNA intergenic spacer". It matches the Rfam family "Bacterial small subunit ribosomal RNA". Lineage: Bacteria; Pseudomonadati; Pseudomonadota; Betaproteobacteria; Burkholderiales; Alcaligenaceae. The record is from RNAcentral.
UUCGAUCACAUGGCUCGAAUUGAACGCUGGCAGGAUGCUUUACACAUGCAAGUCGAACGGCGGCACGGACUUCGGUCUGGUGGCGAGUGGCGAACGGGUGAGUAAUGUAUCGGGACGUGCCUAGUAGCGGGGGAUAACUGCAUGAAAGCGUAGCUAAUACAGCGCCACGCCCUUCGGGAAAGCGGGGGGACCUUCGGGCCUCGCACUGACAAACUGACCGAUAUCGGAUUAGCUAGUUGGUGGGGUAACGGCUCACCAAGGCGACGAUCCGUAGCUGGUUUGAGAGGACGACCAGCCACGCUGGGACUGAGACGGCCCAGACUCCUACGGGAGGCAACAGUGGGGAAUUUUGGACAAUGGGGAAACCCUGAUCAGCCAUCCCGCGUGUGCGAUGAAGGCCUUCGGGUUGUAAAGCACUUUUGGCAGGAAAGAAACGGCACGGGAUAUGCCCGUGCAGCCGGCGGUACCUGCAGAAUAAGCACCGGCUAACUACGUGCCAGCAGCACUGACACGUGGUGCAAGCGUUAAUCGAAUUACUGGGCGUAAAGCGUGCGCAGGCGGUUCGGAAAGAAAGAUGUGAAAUCCCAGAGCUUAACUUUGGAACUGCAUUUUUAACUACCGAGCUAGAGUGUGUCGGAGGUGGGAUUUACGCGUGUAAGCAGUGAAAUGCGUAGAUAUGCGGAGGAACACCGUGCUUGAAAGAGCGACCUCCUGGGAUAACACUGACGCUCAUGCACAGCGUGGGAGCCGACAGGUUUAGAUGCCUGGUAGUCCACGCCCUAAACGAUGUCAACUAGCUGUUGGGGCCUUCCGGGCCUUGGUAGCGCAGCUAACGCUGAAGUUGACCGCCUGGGGAAUACGGUCGCAAGAUUAAAACUCAAAGGAAUUGACAGGGACCCGCACAAGCGGUGGAUGAUGUGGAUUAAUUCGAUGCAACGCGAAAACCUUACCUACCCUUGACAUGUCUGGAAUCGAAAGAGAUUUAGGAGUGCUCGCAAGAGAACCGGAACACAGGUGCUGCAUGGCUGUCGUCAGCUCGUGUCGUGAGAUGUUGGGUUAAGUCCCGCAACGAGCGCAACCCUUGUCAUUAGUUGCUGCGAAAGGGCACUCUAAUGAGACUGCCGGUGACAAACCGGAGGAAGGUGGGGAUGACGUCAAGUCCUCAUGGCCCUUAUGGGUAGGGCUUCACACGUCAUGCAAAUGGUCGGGACAGAGGGUCGCCAACCCGCGAGAGGCACCAAUGCAAAGAAACCCGAUCGUAGUCCGGAUCGCAGUCUGCAACUCGACUGCGUGAAGUCAGAAUCGUAGUAAUCGCGGAUCAACGUGGCUCGCGGUGAAUACGUUCCCGGGUCUUGUAUGCCACCGCCCGUCACACCAUGGAAUUAGGUUUUCAAGUAGUUAGCUGGCGUAGGCGAUUACCACGGUAGGAUUCAUGACUGGGGUGAAGUCGUAACAAGGU